This 324-nucleotide ribosomal RNA is filed under the name uncultured eukaryote. RNAcentral's name for it is "partial 18S ribosomal RNA". It matches the Rfam family "Eukaryotic small subunit ribosomal RNA", at positions 1470 to 1796 of the family's 1831-position model. The record is from RNAcentral.
CCCUUAGAUGUUCUGGGCCGCACGCGCGCUACACUGAUGCAUUCAACGAGUUUCUUCCUGGUCCGAGAGGAAUGGGUAACCUUUUGAAAGUGCAUCGUGAUAGGGAUAGACUAUUGCAAUUAUUGGUCUUCAACGAGGAAUUCCUAGUAGACGUAGUUCAUCAGACUGCAUCGAUUACGUCCCUGCCCUUUGUACACACCGCCCGUCGCUCCUACCGAUUGAAUGCUCAGGUGAGCCAUUCGGACUUUCAUCAUGCUGGUUUCCAGUUUUGAUGAAGGAAAGACUUGCGAACCUUAUCAUUUAGAGGAAGGAGAAGUCGUAACA